RNAcentral lists this long non-coding RNA (415 nucleotides) under Gossypium barbadense (sea-island cotton). RNAcentral describes it as "long non-coding RNA (GBAR_LNC014109)". Lineage: Eukaryota; Viridiplantae; Streptophyta; Magnoliopsida; Malvales; Malvaceae. The record is from RNAcentral.
CCCGGCCCAUGAGCACCUCUAAUCGUGAUAUUUUGAUUAUAAUGAAACUUUUUAAGUGGAUCCCCAAAUCAUGUAGUUUUUAACUUUUUAUUAAAUGAUUUUCAUUUAUGUUGUGUAAUUAGUUUUUUUUUUUGUCAUUUUCAAGUGUUAAUGAACUUUAAGUCAUGUAACAUUUUAUACAACAUGCUUCAUCAUACUUAAAUAUCAUUAAAUCUUCGAAUAAAUUUAAACUUUUUUCUUCAACUCCAUUUUGUAAAAUUUAAUAUCAAAUUUGAUUUACAAAUUAAACUAGUCAAUUGCAAUUAUCUCAAAUUUUUUUUUCAUUUUGAUUGGAAGGAUGACCUUUACGUACACCCCUAUGCUGAAAGCAAAAAUGUAAUGUUAACUUUAUCAUACAUUAAAGAUGUUGAAAUUU